This 495-nucleotide ribosomal RNA is filed under the name uncultured bacterium. Its description in RNAcentral is "partial 16S ribosomal RNA". It matches the Rfam family "Bacterial small subunit ribosomal RNA", at positions 28 to 507 of the family's 1533-position model. The record is from RNAcentral.
GACGAACGCUGGCGGCGUGCCUAAUACAUGCAAGUAGAACGCUGAAGGAGGAGCUUGCUUCUCUGGAUGAGUUGCGAACGGGUGAGUAACGCGUAGGUAACCUGCCUGGUAGCGGGGGAUAACUAUUGGAAACGAUAGCUAAUACCGCAUAAGAGUAGAUGUUGCAUGACAUUUGCUUAAAAGGUGCAAUUGCAUCACUACCAGAUGGACCUGCGUUGUAUUAGCUAGUUGGUGGGGUAACGGCUCACCAAGGCGACGAUACAGAGCCGACCUGAGAGGGUGAUCGGCCACACUGGGACUGAGACACGGCCCAGACUCCUACGGGAGGCAGCAGUAGGGAAUCUUCGGCAAUGGACGGAAGUCUGACCGAGCAACGCCGCGUGAGGGAAGAAGGUUUUCGGAUCGUAAAGCUCUGUUGUAAGGGAAGAACGAGUGUGAGAGUGGAAAGUUCACACUGUGACGGUAUCUUACCAGAAAGGGACGGCUAACUACGUG